Molecule: ribosomal RNA, 334 nt
Filed under: Klebsiella pneumoniae
Lineage: Bacteria; Pseudomonadati; Pseudomonadota; Gammaproteobacteria; Enterobacterales; Enterobacteriaceae
Description: bacterial SSU rRNA
Rfam family: Bacterial small subunit ribosomal RNA
Source: RNAcentral
GGCUCACCUAGGCGACGAUCCCUAGCUGGUCUGAGAGGAUGACCAGCCACACUGGAACUGAGACACGGUCCAGACUCCUACGGGAGGCAGCAGUGGGGAAUAUUGCACAAUGGGCGCAAGCCUGAUGCAGCCAUGCCGCGUGUGUGAAGAAGGCCUUCGGGUUGUAAAGCACUUUCAGCGGGGAGGAAGGCGAUAAGGUUAAUAACCUUGUCGAUUGACGUUACCCGCAGAAGAAGCACCGGCUAACUCCGUGCCAGCAGCCGCGGUAAUACGGAGGGUGCAAGCGUUAAUCGGAAUUACUGGGCGUAAAGCGCACGCAGGCGGUCUGUCAAGU